UCCGAUAGAAGGGGAUUCCGGCAAGGGGAAAACGACGCUGGAUCAGAAAAUUAGCAGCCAAGAUCAGAAGAAAGAAACUGAAAAUAAAAACCCAGAAAAGGAGAAGGAAUCUAAAACCGAGGAGGUGGGUAAGAAUGAAGAAACCGCCAAGAUCGGCACCGGAACUCCAGCUCCGAAAGCGACCAGAGUCGGUAAACUUGCCGGGAGGUUCACGAUCCGGAAGAUGCCGGUAGGAGCGACGGUGAGUCUCUCGGCGACGGUUGUGAUUGCGGUGGUGGCAUAUUUUGCGUAUGCUUAUUG
This 300-nucleotide unclassified non-coding RNA is filed under the name Hevea brasiliensis (rubber tree). Lineage: Eukaryota; Viridiplantae; Streptophyta; Magnoliopsida; Malpighiales; Euphorbiaceae. The record is from RNAcentral.